AUGAGGUCUGGCCUGCCCACUGAAUUGGAUUUAAAUGGCCGCGGUAUAUCUGACCGUGCAAAGGUAGCAUAAUCAAUAGUCUCUUAAUUGGAGGCUUGAAUGAAUGGCCGGACAUAAGGGGUACUGUCUAUCGGUCAGCCGGGAUGAAUUUAACUUUUGUGUGAAAAGGCAUUAAUGUCUUAGGGGGACGAUAAGACCCUAUAAAACUUGAUGGUUGAUCUAAUUCUAGUGAUUUGAGGUGUAAGGAGAGGUCUUGGGGGUGCUAUUGUACUGGGGCGGUAGGAAUAAAAUCUAUUAACUGUUCUUGGUGGAGUAAUAAUUAUGAUUAGGAUUUGACCCUGAAGUUUGGGUUAAAAGAUUAAGUUACUUUAGGGAUAACAGCGUUAUAUCUCUUGAGAGUCCAUAUCGACAGAGAUGUUUGCGACCUCGAUGUUGAAUUAAAAUUUCCCCCGGGGGCAGAGGUUCGGGUGGUAGGUCUGUUCGACCUU
RNAcentral lists this ribosomal RNA (488 nucleotides) under Alpheus gracilipes. Its description in RNAcentral is "partial 16S ribosomal RNA". It matches the Rfam family "Bacterial large subunit ribosomal RNA", at positions 1845 to 2588 of the family's 2925-position model. Lineage: Eukaryota; Metazoa; Arthropoda; Malacostraca; Decapoda; Alpheidae. The record is from RNAcentral.